Molecule: long non-coding RNA, 4916 nt
Organism: Aedes albopictus (Asian tiger mosquito)
Lineage: Eukaryota; Metazoa; Arthropoda; Insecta; Diptera; Culicidae
Exons: 4
Source: RefSeq, a predicted model, not a curated record
UGACCAACCGGCAUGAUCAUCAAUUCGUGAACUUGAACUCGUGGCGGGGUGCCCAGUACGUACAAUACAGCGUUGGAAAUGUCCUCGGCUUCCAACUUGGGAUACCCUUUGUUGAGCAUUUCUUCUGGCAAAAUUUCGCUUGAAGCAGCCAUGGUUGACAUAAAUGGAGGGGCAUAUGCGGCCGGUGGCCUCAACUUUGUGGCAACCAACUCGGUCAGACUGUCAGAAGAACAUGGUCGGUCUAUGAACACUGAUCCGCUGGAUUUGAGUUUAAAGGAAUCACCGUUCCGGCAACAGACUCAAACGAAAAUCUAAGGUUUGAUCGAUGAAGUUCAACAACUCACUGUUGACGCCCCUGAUGAUCCGCUACGCGGGCUGUCACAGAAGCGAGCCUUUUAUGAAGCUGAUAGUCUUCCGUCCGACGAUUCCGAAGAUAUGCAGUUUGAUACACAAGCAAAGACCGCCCAAGGUAGAUACGGCUCAUUCUUCUUUUGAUGACCUAGAAGAUGUAGAUGGCAACGUUGUCAUUGAAUGCAGCCAACCUACUAUCGUUGCAACAAAAAAGGUGCCAUCUCAGCGCAGAGGUCUGGUGGCGGAGAUUGCGAGAGAGACUGCACUCCCCAGCCUUGAUGUCAGCAAUCCCAUUGAAGAAUCGACGCAGAUGCGACACAAUGCAGACCCUGAUGCAGACAUAGAAGCUCUCUCAGAUGUUCCGGAUGGCUGGAGCCUAGAAGAGUGGCGACCGCCACGACCUGGAACACCUAAAGCUGAUGCUGUCCCUUAUGCUCGAAUUAUUCCAACCAUCUCUGUUGAAUCCCCUGCUGCAGGGAAUAGAGCAGCGGCAAGUUCGGUUUUGAACAAACGCAAAGAAGGCUCCAAGCAGCAACAGGAAGGCGGAAAGUACCGCAAAAAGUAUCUCGCACUUUUAUGAGGAAAUACCGUGAAAAGUGUGAGGCAUUGAAGAAACAGAUGGAGAAGAACCAGAAACAGCUGCUUAAGAUUGCAGAACUGAAAGAUGUGUUGGUUUUCGUCAAUGUAGAGGCGAAAAAAGCGAAAUUGGAUCCACAUGCUAAACAUACUUUCACAACGAAUGAUGAAAUCGACAUGACUGAGGAUCAAAUCGAAGAAGUUAAUAUGGCCUUCAAAUCCGACCUUACCUUCGGACAAAAUCUUGCGAUAUUUUUCUACGGUGCCCAAAGUUUACAACAAAUGUCCGUAACAAGACUGCAACUCGUCGGUUGAAGAACUCCACGACCAGGCAUAUCACCAAAAAAACUAAUAUUCAUUCACGAAAAAGUGCAACAACGAGUCGCCGCACGGCUUAGCGCCAAUAACACUGCCUGACAAAAUUUUACAAAAUUUGGUGUUAUGGGAUGAGAUAAAAAAUAACAGAGGUUUGGGACGCUAGAAGUGUCAUAGUGAAAGAAUUUUAGAAAAAUAUUGGACCGGGCCUUCACAGUUCAAAACCGAAGUUUGUAUGGAGAACUUGGGGUGUUGUUCUAUAUGGAUCAUCACCGUUGUUGAUUAUGUUGCGGGUUUGUUUAUCGGCUUUUUUCGGUGAAAAUGAUUAAAAUUCAGCAUUUCCCGAACGUUUCGACCUUCUACUGUUUUCGGUCAUCCUCAGCGGUUCCUUAAAUGUUUAUUUAAUCAGUAAUUUAUAUAAAAUAUUAUCAAAAACUUACAUGCUAUGGGGCAGAACUAUAACCAUUGCCCAUUUGUUUACUUCUGUUCAUUCGUUCGGUGUUAUAUUGGUGCUAGUGUUUUGUGUUUUUAGUUUUUCGAUCAGGCCGUUGUAUGCGGACCUGAACUUAAUAGAGUCUCUUUGCAAAUUUACAGUGUUGUCGUCCCCUUUGAUUUUUAUAUAAAAUGUUUCAGCUAUUAGACGAGUGUCUGUUCUAGAUAAUUCAUCUAAGAUAUUAGUUUUAUCAAAGUUAAAACAAUGACCUUCAUCAAUUGUAUGUUGUACUAGCGCAGUGCUACCUAUUUUUUUAGUUUUUACAUCAUUUUUGUGUUGUUCUAAUCUUUUGCUUAAAAAUGUUCUAAUGCACAUAUCAAUUGAACACCCCAAGUUCUCCAUACAAACUAGAGAUGGGAAAAUGAUUCAAUUUUGAGAAUGAAUCGCUACCGAUUCACUCUCAAAAAAGAGUCGACUCUUUUGACCGAUUCAGUAACUCUUUUCCGUAACUUGAUGAAAAAUGUUAUUUUUCGAUGUUAGCCAACUCCUUUUUUAUAUGUCCAGUUUUCUAGCUGGCAAGGUUGGACGUCGACUCAGCCAUCGACGCAAUAAAUGCAGGAUACACAGAUUUUCGUUCUUUCCAUUAAAGAGUCGAAUCACUAGCGCGAGCCGGCCAUACAAUAUACGAAUGAAAUUUAUCGAUUGGCAAAGAUUACGUUUUAUUCUGUGUCUAAACAUGACUUAAGUACGCAGUUAAUCUAACUAUUUUCGCCACUUGUUGUUCUCGAAAUGAACUUCAGCGAAUCGUAACUCUUUUGAAAAGAAUCGUGAUUCACUCACUCGGUUUCGCGAAUCGGUUCUUUGAGUCGACUCGCGAGUGAGUUACCCAUGUCUAAUACAAACUUCGGCUUUGAACUGUGAAGGCCCGGUCCAAUAUUUUUCAAAAGUUCUUUCACUAUGACACUUCUAGGAUCCCAAACCCCUGUUUUUUUUGUCUCAUCCCAUAACAAAAUUUAGUGUUGAACGGUGUAAUCUAUCUCCCAAGUAACUUCGGGAAAUGCUGAAUUUUAAUCAUUUUCACCGAAAAAAGCCGAUGAACAAACCCGCAACUUGAGGUGUUCAAUUGAUAUGUGCAUUAGAACGUGCCGUGCAUAUUUUUAGGCGUUUUCGGUAUUUGGGUUAGUUUCGUUAUUGCCUAACGCCUAAAAAUAUGCACAGCGCGUUCUAAUGCACAUAUCAAUUGAACACCCCAAGUUCUCCAUACAAACUUCGGCUUUGAACUGUGAAGGCCCGGUCCAAUAUUUUUAAAAAAUCUUUCACUAUGACACUUCUAGGGUCCCAAACCCCUGUUAUUUUUUUUUUCUCAUCCCACAACAAAAUUUAGUGUUGAACGGUGUUAUGAAUGACUGGAAUUAUAAGUUUCACCAUAAAUCCUAAAGCGCCGCUUUGAUCAACACGUUGGCCCAUUCAACCGUAAUAAACAAAGGAAUUGCUAAAAAGAUUGCGAACCUAAACAAGACAAAUAAGUACCGUAAUCCGGGGUCAAAUUGAUCACUUUAAAACAACUUUUGCGGAUAACAUCAGUGCCAAUUCAAAUAUUGCCAAAAGAAUUUCUGUAAAACCAGUACCCAGUGGAUCUCCAUGGAACCAUGUGACAGAAUUUUGUUCAAUAAAUUUAAACUUUAAGUUAAAUAACUCCAAAUAUCAAAAAAUUGGAAAUGCAACUUUGGGGCGAAAUUGAUCAGUAUACAAUCAAGCAUCGGUUGGAAAGGAAAAUUUCCUUCUCCGCUUAAUUUUGCUCUUCUAAAACCGAAUAACACGUUUAAAAUCUUACAACUAGUGAAUUUAAUACUUUAAAUGCAGAAUAAAAUAUUUAAAUGUCCCCUUAAACGCCUUAAGGUAGGCAAUUUCACUUGAAAUAAGUGGUUUCUAUCACAAAAAAUACUAUUUCAUCAUAAAAUAAACUUUUUUUUUACUAUUUCAUGUUCUGAUUAGCUACAUAACUUCCCAACCAAGGCUCCACAAAAAUGUUAAAACAGAGAAUUUACGGGAAGUCCUAUUAGCAAUCGAUUUUUUUAGUAGCAAUGAUUUCAGCUAAAUGAGAAAUACAUUGCAAAUUCAUUAAAAAUUAAGGCAAAACUAACUUUUUUCUAAAAAAUUUAAAGUCCACACUCAUCUCUAUACAUCUACGAGCCAGAUGACGUAAAAAGUUUAAGAUCAUUACGACGCUUAAGAGUUCCUAGUAUGGAAUUACAAUGUAGUACCCGAAUGAUCAAUUUCACCCCGCUGAUCAAUUUGACCCCGGUUUACGGUACGCAGAGGCUCGCAGUGCCAGUCGAGAUGUGGGCCAGGAAGCCCAAUCGAAAUGAUGGACUUGUCUAUGCCCAUUAGUACCCAAGUAACCACAAGCAUUAUAUCAUAACAUUAAUUCAAUUGUAUUAUAGUUUAGCUAAUGUAACAUAACUUUUAUUUUACAUCUGUCAAGUAAUGAAGCGUUUAAUCUACAUUAUGAAAGCAUUGAAGCAUUACGAGAUUUUGACAGUUCUGUAUAGUUCUAUAGAGCCGUUGUUAAAUGCUUCAUUACAUUACCAUGUUAAAAGCUUUAUAGCAAUCAAUAAUGCCAGCAUUUAUUACUUUAUAUAUGCCUUUACUAAAGCUUCCAUCGUUGUAAACAGAAAAUAUCGCUCAGUUCGAAAAAAAAAAUUUAUGGUGUCUUAUUUCUUGUAUUUUAGGUAGAAGUGUGCACGUAUGAAAACAAAAACCCGGAUUAAUCCACCUAGUGGUGAUAGUGCCUUUCUCGUCGAAUAUGUACUCAUGAUCUUUAUGUCGACAUUAGCCGAUCCUGAGAACACUUAUACGCUUAAUACGACCUUCUUAUGGACCAAAUUGUGCACAGUAAUUUUAGAUUGGGAGAUUGGAAAACUAUAUUCAGUGUUGAUGCGAUCAAAUUAUAAUUUUCCCAUAACACGUUGAUCCAUCCUACUUUAUAUUAACACCACAGGAAUUUGAAAUGGUGUGAUUUGAUGAGAUUGCUUUGGUCACAAUUUUAUUUUCUUGCAAAUAUGAAGACUUUGACCAUUUCUUCACUUUUAAACUUACCCACCGUUUAUCAGGCUUUUAAAAAAGUCAAGAUUUGAUUUAUCGCUAACAUUGGUUUUGUUCACUUUCAUAAUUCCACUAACUGAUGUACCGCAUGCAUGGGUUUGGUUCAAUUCCACGUUUGAUCAUUUCCGGCGGAUAC